This 73-nucleotide transfer RNA is filed under the name Cordylochernes scorpioides. RNAcentral's name for it is "tRNA-Val". It matches the Rfam family "tRNA". From Rfam's summary of the family: Transfer RNA (tRNA) molecules are approximately 80 nucleotides in length. Their secondary structure includes four short double-helical elements and three loops (D, anti-codon, and T loops). The record is from RNAcentral. Lineage: Eukaryota; Metazoa; Arthropoda; Arachnida; Pseudoscorpiones; Chernetidae.
GUUUUCGUGGUGUAGUGGUUAUCACGUUCGCUUUACACGCGAAAGGUCCCCGGUUCGAUCCCGGGCGUAACCA